AGAGUUUGAUCCUGGCUCAGGACGAACGCUGGCGGUGUGCUUAACACAUGCAAGUGGAGCGACGAACCAGGGCUUGCCCUGGGGCAGAGCCGCGAACGGGUGAGUAACACGUGGGUAACCUACCCCGAUGACUGGGACAACCCGAGGAAACUCGGGCUAAUACCGGAUAUGUCCGACUUUCACGAGGAAGUCGAGCAAAGGAAGCUUCGGCCUCCGCAUUGGGAGGGGCCCGCGGCCCAUUAGCUAGUUGGUGGGGUAAUGGCCUACCAAGGCUGCGAUGGGUAGCUGGUCUGAGAGGACGAUCAGCCACACUGGGACUGAGACACGGCCCAGACUCCUACGGGAGGCAGCAGUGGGGAAUCUUGCGCAAUGCGCGAAAGCGUGACGCAGCAACACCGCGUGAGGGAAGACGGCCUUCGGGUUGUAAACCUCUUUCAGGAGGGACGAAGGGUGGCCGGUGAAUAGCCGUGCCGCUUGACGGUACCUCCAGAAGAAGCUCCGGCUAACUACGUGCCAGCAGCCGCGGUAAUACGUAGGGAGCAAGCGUUGUGCGGAAUCAUUGGGCGUAAAGCGCGCGUAGGCGGCCCGAUAAGUCUGCUGUAAAAGUCAACUGCUCAGUCGUUGAAAGCCUGUGGAUACUGUCGGGCUAGAGUUCGGANGAGGCAAGUGGAAUUCCUGGUGUAGCGGUGGAAUGCGCAGAUAUCAGGANGAACACCUAUAGCAAAGGCAUUCUGCUGGGACGGUACUGACGCUAAUGCCCCAAAGCGUGGGGAACGACCAGG
Molecule: ribosomal RNA, 782 nt
Filed under: uncultured bacterium
Lineage: Bacteria
Description: bacterial SSU rRNA
Rfam family: Bacterial small subunit ribosomal RNA
Source: RNAcentral